AAACCAACAGGGAUUGCCUUAGUAGCGGCGAGUGAAGCGGCAAAAGCUCAAAUUUGAAAUCUGGCGCCUUCGGUGUCCGAGUUGUAAUUUGAAGAUUGUAACCUUGGGGUUGGCUCUUGUCUAUGUUUCUUGGAACAGGACGUCACAGAGGGUGAGAAUCCCGUGCGAUGAGAUGCCCAAUUCUAUGUAAGGUGCUUUCGAAGAGUCGAGUUGUUUGGGAAUGCAGCUCUAAGUGGGUGGUAAAUUCCAUCUAAAGCUAAAUAUUGGCGAGAGACCGAUAGCGAACAAGUACAGUGAUGGAAAGAUGAAAAGAACUUUGAAAAGAGAGUGAAAAAGUACGUGAAAUUGUUGAAAGGGAAGGGUUUGAGAUCAGACUCGAUAUUUUGUGAGCCUUGCCUUCGUGGCGGGGUGACCCGCAGCUUAUCGGGCCAGCAUCGGUUUGGNCGGUAGGAUAAUGGCGUAGGAAUGUGACUUUACUUCGGUGAAGUGUUAUAGCCUGCGUUGAUGCUGCCUGCCUAGACCGAGGACUGCGAUUUUAUCAAGGAUGCUGGCAUAAUGAUCCCAAACCGC
RNAcentral lists this ribosomal RNA (570 nucleotides) under Meyerozyma guilliermondii. RNAcentral's name for it is "eukaryotic LSU rRNA". It matches the Rfam family "Eukaryotic large subunit ribosomal RNA", at positions 62 to 648 of the family's 3401-position model. Lineage: Eukaryota; Fungi; Ascomycota; Pichiomycetes; Serinales; Debaryomycetaceae. The record is from RNAcentral.